UGACAGUACGUGUAUUGGGUAUAAGGAAAUAGCGUGACAGAGGGGGGAGGGGGGGUCUAGAAAUCCCGAAAAACGAUGGACGUAAUUUUUGAAUCUUCCCAAAGGCAAAAUCCCCGUAGCUCACAACAAAAACACGUUCAAAAUUGUUUGUGCUGAAAACUGAUGCGUUACACAAUUUCUUACUGAUUUAUUUGCUAUCUUCGCGUUGUCGUGUAAUUUCGAACGAUUGCACGCCAAAAUUUUCGUAACCUUUUGCUAGUUUUACACGUUUUACUUAAGUAAUAACUUAUGAUAAUGACUAAUUCGCAGAUGUCGUGCACUUCCCAGAUCUGUCAGAGUGCCCAAAAGUGUCAAUUUCCCAAACAUGUCAAAUUCAUGUGGGCUACGGCACAUCUAUUCGUGGUUGACGUCCGCGCUACCCCGCUGGUGAAAAUAAAUAACCACUCCAUCGUCGCGGAAAAACGUAAAUCCGAGAAACAAAUUUCACUAGUCCACUAAUAAAAUAACGAUGCAGCUUCCACCCAGAAGGAACCUCGGAAAGAACAGGAUCUUAUUGUCGCAGAAAAUCGUCGGAAGAUCGGUGCCGAAUAGGCCGAGGCAAACUGACCUGAUUCGAAUCAGAUCCGACAACAUCAGUGAUUACUUAGAACAGCGUUAUAAGGAGGAAUUGCUCACAGGCCGGAUAACCCGCUCGGAUUUGGUCAACCGAUUGUAGCAUCUAGGCUACUCUCACUGCAACGACGGUGCCAGCAAAGAAGGAAGAGCCAUCAGAGGAUAGUUCAGACGACCACGAGGAAGAAUCCAGGUCAGCACCAGCGAAAUCUGCAGCUGUAUCGAAGAAGCUCCACCAGUGAAAACUUGGUGAAUCUCCAAGUGUCCUGCUCUAAUUAACUGUUGCUGUCGCGGCUGCCAGCAACCAGCUUCAGCCAAGAAGAAAGGCAAGUGGAGAGGAAAUAAGUAAAACCACCGGCAAAAUGAAGACAUUCUUCAAAGAAAAAUCUAGAAUCGUCCAACUUGGAUUCUUCGGAUUCCGACGCGAAACUCGAAGAGGAAAAUGCCGGCAAGAGGAAAAUAUGGCAAGGACUGAUAAGUGUCGGUUCAACAACUAUGCCGGUGUUCAGACGUGCGGUCAAUGAACGUAUGGUUUUUUAAGGUUUUAAGAACUCACCGGCUCGCGUACAAAAUGCUCUUGGAAACGCCAAACUCCAACGCCGAACAACUUGGAGAUGCCGAUGGUGCAAGUGAAGUUGGAUAAACUACUAAAUAACUAAUAAAACGACUAAUUAGAUGAGCAUCCAAAUUUAAUUGAUAGUUUGUUUUUUAUUAAGAGAAUGAUAGUUUCGUUUCAGUAUAACCACUAUAACCUUAACAUUGUGACGGUUAUGCUGCCUUUUUGGAUUUUUUUUUACUUAGAAACGGAACCAUCAUUCCCUUUGAUUUAAUUAAUUUAUUAUUUCUUUUUAAGUGGUUCAAAUACAUUGGAACAAUAUGACAUACGGUUGAAAUACCCUGAAAAACCAUUAAUCAACAAUAACACAUACAUCGUUCGUUUUUAUUGCAAGUUUAAUGUUAAACUGUGCAUGAACUGAUUGGUUUACAGUGAAAGGGAUGAAAAAAUGGAUAGUAUACUGACCUUCUGACAAACUGUUUACGAAAAAUUUUGUUCGAGAAAAUCGGCGUUUUUUUAUGGUAACAUAACUUAACCGCCUAUUCCCCAUAUUGUAAUUUGCGCGAGAACCGUCUGUGAAACUGUUGAAAACGUUCAUGGUACGGUUGAGUUAUUGUUACUCUGGAUGUUAUACGAUACUGUUGAGGUACUGUAGUAAAUAGUUGCUAACAGUAUGGUGAACAGUACUAGUAUUGUUCAUGGUUAUGCGGGUUGU
Aedes albopictus (Asian tiger mosquito) is the source of this 1883-nucleotide long non-coding RNA. RefSeq lists it as uncharacterized. The transcript has 4 exons. The record is from RefSeq and is a predicted model, not a curated record. Lineage: Eukaryota; Metazoa; Arthropoda; Insecta; Diptera; Culicidae.